This 554-nucleotide ribosomal RNA is filed under the name Equus caballus (horse). RNAcentral's name for it is "partial large subunit ribosomal RNA". It matches the Rfam family "Bacterial large subunit ribosomal RNA", at positions 1816 to 2597 of the family's 2925-position model. Lineage: Eukaryota; Metazoa; Chordata; Mammalia; Perissodactyla; Equidae. The record is from RNAcentral.
CACCUCUAGCAUUUCCAGUAUUAGAGGCACUGCCUGCCCAGUGACAUCUGUUUAAACGGCCGCGGUAUCCUAACCGUGCAAAGGUAGCAUAAUCACUUGUUCCCUAAAUAGGGACUUGUAUGAAUGGCCACACGAGGGUUUUACUGUCUCUUACUUCCAAUCAGUGAAAUUGACCUUCCCGUGAAGAGGCGGGAAUGACUAAAUAAGACGAGAAGACCCUAUGGAGCUUUAAUUAACUGAUUCACAAAAAACAACACACAAACCUAACCUUCAGGGACAAGAGAACCUUUGACUGAAUCAGCAAUUUCGGUUGAGGUGACCUCGGAGAACAAAAUAACCUCUGAGUGAUUAAAAUCCAGACUAACUAGUCGAAAUAUACAAUCACUUAUUGAUCCAAACUAUUGAUCAACGGAACAAGUUACCCUAGGGAUAACAGUGCAAUCCUAUUCCAGAGUCCAUAUCGACAAUUAGGGUUUACGACCUCGAUGUUGGAUCAAGACAUCCUAAUGGUGCAACCGCUACUAAGGGUUCGUUUGUUCAACGAUUAAAGUCUU